This 1432-nucleotide ribosomal RNA is filed under the name uncultured organism. RNAcentral describes it as "SSU rRNA". It matches the Rfam family "Bacterial small subunit ribosomal RNA". The record is from RNAcentral.
GCUAGCUACAGGCUUAACACAUGCAAGUCGAGGGGCAGCAUGGUCUUAGCUUGCUAAGGCCGAUGGCGACCGGCGCACGGGUGAGUAACACGUAUCCAACCUGCCGUCUACUCUUGGACAGCCUUCUGAAAGGAAGAUUAAUACAAGAUGGCAUCAUGAGUCCGCAUGUUCACAUGAUUAAAGGUAUUCCGGUAGACGAUGGGGAUGCGUUCCAUUAGAUAGUAGGCGGGGUAACGGCCCACCUAGUCUUCGAUGGAUAGGGGUUCUGAGAGGAAGGUCCCCCACAUUGGAACUGAGACACGGUCCAAACUCCUACGGGAGGCAGCAGUGAGGAAUAUUGGUCAAUGGGCGAGAGCCUGAACCAGCCAAGUAGCGUGAAGGAUGACUGCCCUAUGGGUUGUAAACUUCUUUUAUAAAGGAAUAAAGUCGGGUAUGGAUACCCGUUUGCAUGUACUUUAUGAAUAAGGAUCGGCUAACUCCGUGCCAGCAGCCGCGGUAAUACGGAGGAUCCGAGCGUUAUCCGGAUUUAUUGGGUUUAAAGGGAGCGUAGAUGGAUGUUUAAGUCAGUUGUGAAAGUUUGCGGCUCAACCGUAAAAUUGCAGUUGAUACUGGAUAUCUUGAGUGCAGUUGAGGCAGGCGGAAUUCGUGGUGUAGCGGUGAAAUGCUUAGAUAUCACGAAGAACUCCGAUUGCGAAGGCAGCCUGCUAAGCUGCAACUGACAUUGAGGCUCGAAAGUGUGGGUAUCAAACAGGAUUAGAUACCCUGGUAGUCCACACGGUAAACGAUGAAUACUCGCUGUUUGCGAUAUACUGCAAGCGGCCAAGCGAAAGCGUUAAGUAUUCCACCUGGGGAGUACGCCGGCAACGGUGAAACUCAAAGGAAUUGACGGGGGCCCGCACAAGCGGAGGAACAUGUGGUUUAAUUCGAUGAUACGCGAGGAACCUUACCCGGGCUUAAAUUGCAGAUGAAUUACGGUGAAAGCCGUAAGCCGCAAGGCAUCUGUGAAGGUGCUGCAUGGUUGUCGUCAGCUCGUGCCGUGAGGUGUCGGCUUAAGUGCCAUAACGAGCGCAACCCUUGUUGUCAGUUACUAACAGGUUCCGCUGAGGACUCUGACAAGACUGCCAUCGUAAGAUGUGAGGAAGGUGGGGAUGACGUCAAAUCAGCACGGCCCUUACGUCCGGGGCUACACACGUGUUACAAUGGGGGGUACAGAGGGCCGCUACCACGCGAGUGGAUGCCAAUCCCCAAAACCUCUCUCAGUUCGGACUGGAGUCUGCAACCCGACUCCACGAAGCUGGAUUCGCUAGUAAUCGCGCAUCAGCCACGGCGCGGUGAAUACGUUCCCGGGCCUUGUACACACCGCCCGUCAAGCCAUGGGAGCCGGGGGUACCUGAAGUGCGUAACCGCGAGGAGCGCCCUAGGGUAAAACUGA